CAGGACGCGUGAGGAUAUUGGUCAUGGACGCAAGUCUGACCAGCCAUGCCGCGUGCAGGAUGACGGUCCUAUGGAUUGUAAACUGCUUUUGUACGAGAAGAAACACUCCGACGUGUCGGAGCUUGACGGUAUCGUAAGAAUAAGGAUCGGCUAACUCCGUGCCAGCAGCCGCGGUAAU
RNAcentral lists this ribosomal RNA (178 nucleotides) under uncultured freshwater bacterium. Its description in RNAcentral is "partial 16S ribosomal RNA". It matches the Rfam family "Bacterial small subunit ribosomal RNA", at positions 345 to 524 of the family's 1533-position model. The record is from RNAcentral.